RNAcentral lists this unclassified non-coding RNA (1636 nucleotides) under Hevea brasiliensis (rubber tree). The record is from RNAcentral. Lineage: Eukaryota; Viridiplantae; Streptophyta; Magnoliopsida; Malpighiales; Euphorbiaceae.
GAGAGAGAGAGAGAGAGAGAACCUCCAUAAAGAAAAGGAAAACAUAAGAGAUCAAUCUUUCAAAAAACAAUGUGAGCUAGCAACUCUCAUCUUUAGUUUCAUAAGCAUACGUUUAUUUUUCAUUCAUUUACCAAGAACAAAGAGACCAUCUAUUAUCCUAAAAAGAAAAGGGACAAACAUACCUUUGAAAACCAAACCAAAGAGAUGGCAUUUUACAAGCAAGUUAAGUAAGAACCUUCUCUUUGAUCAAGUCUCCAAGGCAUAAAGAUUCCAAAAUAUUGUUUCAAAGUAAUUUUCCAAGUAAGCUUGUCAUGGUACCAAAGCAUCAUUGAUAUCCUUUCCAAUUCAUGGUGUCAAACAUAAUAUUCUCAAUUACAAUGACAAAACUAUGCUAUGAGUCUUCAAUAUUGAUGUUCACUUUACCAAUAUUCAUAAAAUGCCACAUAAACAUGAUUUCCAAAAAGUGAUCGACACUUUUUCCCAAAAUUAAAGCAAUUGCAAAAUCAGCAUAAAUGAAUAGCCUAUUUCACAAGGACUGCAAAAUGUAGAACACAAAUGACACAUGUAUGAAAAUUACAACUCUAAAUUAAGCCUCCUUUUUUUGGCAAAAAAAAUUUUUUGCCACUGAUUAGACACAUUUAACUACUACAAGAUGAACAUCUCUAGACAAGACUUCCUAAUCCCAUAAGAUUCCUCUUUCAGCAAAAAAAACAAAUAUUGCAAAAGUAUACUUCAGAUGAAUAGCCUUAUUCACCAGGUCAGCACAUUUAAACAUGAUUUGCUGAUCUCACAAGGUUCCCAUUUGGGGCCAACAAAAGCUGGGCCAAAAACUUCCUUGCGAUGAAUAUUAAUAGCCUAAUUCACCUGGACAUCAAAAUGCAUUACUGUGAUAUUCUCAUCUAAUAUUCAACACAUACAUGAAAAAAAAAUUCCCAAAUUAGUCCCUAUUUGCUUGGCAAGAGUUCAGAUCUCUGAUAAGACAAUCUAGCCACUACAACAUUAACACAUUCAACAAUGACUUCCUGAUACCACAUAUGCUCCCUUUUGGCAUCAAUCAAGAGUUGGUAAAAUAAAUACUACACAUAGACAAUAUGUGUGUGUGUAUUAACAGUAUGAGAGUUCUUCCCAGUUACAAAUUACAAAAGAAGAAAAAAAAAUUAAUCUAAAAAAAUUGGUAAUCAAUCAUUUCAAAGUCUUUAUCGUCUGCAACAAUGAAAAUCAAUGAAGCAACAUGGCAUCAAACCCUAGCAUAGAAACCAAACAGAUUACAAAACAGUAUACAACCUUGUUGCCAGCAAUUACACAACAGUAUCCAACUUGCUAGCUUGAACUUACAGAUUUAUUUUGUUGCCUGCUCAAUUCUUAUUAGUGGAUUUCCUAUGUUACCAUUGAAUGCCCAUGUUUUCCUGAAUCCUUACCAAUAUCAUCAGCUUAAAAAGUUAAAAAUUCUUUCCUUUCUAAUCUAACAAUGUACAUGAUCCUACUUUAAAACCCUAAUCACAACAAAAACAUCCCACUUCUGAGAAAUGAUUAGAUACUAAACAUUAACAAAAAUAAGUCAUUUCACGAAACAGUCCAGGAGCGAAAACUCAUACCGCGAAAGAAUUUGCCUAUCAAGAUCCAUCUUGAGUGGAAA